Pelobates cultripes (western spadefoot toad) is the source of this 235-nucleotide non-coding RNA. The record is from the annotation of a GenBank genome assembly. Lineage: Eukaryota; Metazoa; Chordata; Amphibia; Anura; Pelobatidae.
GUAUCGCAGCUCGAAAAGCCAAGAUGGUCACCGCGCGCUGGGUUUUGCCAGGAACAACUCCCGCGGUCCUUACGGGCAGCGGAGAACAAUACCCCCCAGAAACCCACAGUGCCCAGACACCCUCCCGCCACCCGGAACAGGGCCCGACGAAGGGUACUGGAACUGGUAAGCCCGCAAGCGAUGAAGUAGGCCGUGAGCAGAGUGCUACUCAGGGAGAUAGCCAGGUAGAAGUUGG